RNAcentral lists this ribosomal RNA (326 nucleotides) under uncultured marine eukaryote. RNAcentral describes it as "SSU rRNA". It matches the Rfam family "Eukaryotic small subunit ribosomal RNA", at positions 612 to 942 of the family's 1831-position model. The record is from RNAcentral.
GUUGCGGUUAAAAAGCUCGUAGUUGGAUUUCUGUUGAGGAUGACCGGUCCGCUCUUUGAGCGCGUAUCUGGUUCAGCCUUGGCAUCCUCUUGGGGAACGCUACUGUGCUUGAUUGCAUGGGGGGGUAUUCAAGACUUUUACUUUGAGGAAAUUAGAGUGUUCACUGCAAGCGUUAGCAAUUGAAUACAUUAGCAUGGAAUAAUAAUAUAGGACCUUGGUACUAUUUUGUUGGUUUCUAGAACUAAGGUAAUGAUUAAUAGGGACAAUUGGGGGCAUUCGUAUUAACGCGUCAGAGGUGGAAUUCUUAGAUCGCGUACGACGAACUA